This is a long non-coding RNA of Monopterus albus (swamp eel), 396 nucleotides long. RefSeq lists it as uncharacterized. The transcript is spliced from 3 exons. Lineage: Eukaryota; Metazoa; Chordata; Actinopteri; Synbranchiformes; Synbranchidae. The record is from RefSeq and is a predicted model, not a curated record.
ACGACCCGAAAGUUUUUUUUAACCACGUGACCGCUUCUUGCCACAACCUCCCCCACCUAAAUAGCUGAGGCAGCAGAACAGAGCUUCAGUCAUCCAAACAGAAGUUUAUCCCAGCUUCACUUCCAGGAUCUGAAUAUCCCCUGCUGACAGGCAGAAUCAGAGCAUGUAGUCAGCAAUAAGAUCCUCCCUCUGUGUCAGUGACGGUGGACGUCCAUCAGGUGCCGCUGCCAGCAGACUGGAAAAGCCCAAUGCCUGUCUGACAGCCGCAACAUAGCGUGGGUAUCUGCCUGACACUCAGUGGCCCUGUGUCAACAGCAGAGGGAGGAAGAAGAGACGCAGAGGAAACUAGAAACUAACCCUUCUGCAGACAUGGACCUACGGUCUGAGCUGCUCAAG